This is a long non-coding RNA of Piliocolobus tephrosceles (Ugandan red Colobus), 391 nucleotides long. RefSeq lists it as uncharacterized. The record is from RefSeq and is a predicted model, not a curated record. The transcript has 2 exons. Lineage: Eukaryota; Metazoa; Chordata; Mammalia; Primates; Cercopithecidae.
AGGAGGCACUGGGAGUAAAACCUGGCCUUUGGCUCUACCAAAGACCACCCAGGGGACUGGAGAAAAGGGUGGUGACUGGAGCUACAGGCCUAUUGCGUAACAAGGGUGCCCUGGACAGGCUGGCAGGAAGUCAAGCCGGAGACCUAAAAGAGAAGGUUCUGGGGAAAUCAGAGCUACCUUGAUUGCCUUUGACAACACUCAAGUACUUCACUGGCCCUUCUGCUGCAGAACUUGAACAUGUGGUUCCUCAAAUACAGUACUUUCCUCCCAACUCCCACCACUCCACUUUCCUACUGUGACUAUUUCACUCCUGUAUCAACUCCACUGAAUCACCAUUUCCUUACGUCAGCUUUCCUUGUCCCCCCUGACUAGCAAUAAAUGUCCUCCUCAA